Olea europaea var. sylvestris is the source of this 1332-nucleotide long non-coding RNA. RefSeq lists it as uncharacterized. The record is from RefSeq and is a predicted model, not a curated record. Lineage: Eukaryota; Viridiplantae; Streptophyta; Magnoliopsida; Lamiales; Oleaceae. The transcript is spliced from 3 exons.
UUCCAACGAAUCCUACCCAAUUUUCAAUCCAUUCUUCCCAAGUUCUCGUCCACUUCCACUCCUUUCUUCUCCACCGGCCUCGACGCAAAGUUGAGAUUCUCAGGGAUGUCUCGAUCUACUGCUCACUGCUCAGGGACAAAUCGAUUCUACAUUUGACAUUUCCACCACCACCGGCCUCCAACAUUCGAGCAUCGAGCCCUAGAUGCAGGUCACGCACUCACGCAGCAGCCGGUAGCACCUUCGAGCCCUAGAACACGAUAGCCAGCAGCAGAGCUUGGAGUCCAUAUUUCCACCGGUGAUUAGACGGUAGAAGAAGAAGCCCUCGAGUUCAAUUUGGUGGUUCCUGUCCUGUCCACUGAUGACUGAUUCUUGAAGCUUGGAUGCUCAAGUCUCGAUUUACUCUGAAAUAUAUAGGUAAACAAAUGUAAAUCAUAUUGGUCUCUCAUUUAACAGUUACUUACAAUCUUUGAAUUAGGUUUAUUGUUUCUGAAAUAGGCUCUAGUUUUUGAAUUAACCAAUGUGUACCAGUUGGAAAUGAAUAUGUUUUGUGCCUCUUCGGUGUUAAUUUGAGGCCAAUUAACCAAUUGCUUGUAGGCUAAUACAAGAAAUUCUGAAGAUGUUCCAGGUAGAGGUCACUGUAGGAAAAAAAUGUAAGAGUAAUGCUUUUUCACAAAAUGUAUCAUGUUUUAACUAAAAAUGAUAUAAAGGAGGCUCGUAAUUCUUGAGAUAUGUAUUAUAUGUCAGAGAGUUGUGUUCAUUUCCAAAUGGAUGGACACAUUUUUUGUUGAACACGGGGUCUGCAUUGUUAAAGCAAAUAGUUAACAAUUGAAGUCACUUUAUGAAUAUGCUUUUUGCAUUUUAGAAGUAAAUCAAUAAAGCCCAAAACUAAAUUAUUGUUUUACCUCUAAUCCUGAUGAUGCGGCGAGCCUUCGGUCGUACUCCGGACCUUCCUCUCUUGCCAACCUCCCUCUUGUUCCAGCCUUUCUUGCAUGUACUGUCUCUCAGGUUCUCAAGCCCUUCACUACCUGGUUAUUACCAGAAUUCCUUGCUUUGCCAAGUUUUCUGUUUGGGCAAUCUAUGGGGGGAUCAGUGGCUCUGAAGGUGCACCUGAAACAAUUUGAGUGUGUUGUUGCAGUUUGAGCAGAAUGUGAAAACUAGAUGUUGCUAGAUGUAUAAGUUGAAUUAAAAUUUUAUUCUUAAUUUUGUUUCAUUUUGAAACUUUUAUUAUUAUUAUUAUUUUUUAUUUAGGUUGUGUUGUAUCACAUUCUAAUCUUCAAGUGUAUGGAUCAAAAAAUUUGUAAUUAAAUUAUCAAUUUUUAUGCAAUUUCAAAA